CAACCAUCUUGGAUCAGUUUACAAAUUACAAACGUAAUAGUAGAAAGACAAAGCAAGACAAGGAAAUCGUAUUUUUUGAUUUUGAUUUUUUCACAUCUGGCAAGUUAAAUAGAUUUCCAGUUAUGGAGACUGUUAUAGAACGACAGAGGAGACAACACGAAGAAUGUGAGAGGCUGGAAAAUGCACUGACUGACGAAUUGUUAUUGAAAAAACAAACGGUAUGUUCACAUGUUUUACUCGAAUAUAUCUAUAAACUAAAAAGCUGGGUUACACUAUAAAAGUUUCUGUGACCACAGUAGGGAUUUUGCAUAGGUAAAUGCAUUUGUUUGUGGUAACUCAGUGUUAAACACCGAGCCAGUUCCUCAAACAUUUCUUACAAAUCUGAAUUCAAAAAAUUAGAAUUUUAUACCUAUACUAGGACUACACUGCACACAAAGAUGCCAUGUUCACCCAAGCUGACUUGCCCAGGGUGAAUUUGAGGGUGUAUUUCCCAAAGAUGUUCGCUGCAGAACAGCGAUUCGAACAAAAUUUUGCAUACAUUUUCUGUGCAGAAUUUGGCAAUGAUUUGGUGAAGCAAUUUUAAUAGCGUAAUUAUAUUACAGUCAAACCGGAUGUUCUCUUGAGAGCAACAUUGCAAUAUUAGGGCCAUUUAUACGAGCGAAAAUAACCCACAGCCUAAAUAAGCGGCGGCUUAAAUAAGUCGCAAACGUAUAAACAGUCAAUUUGCAAUAAGCCACGGCCCAGGGUGCAUUCCAUGCACGUUUUGCGGAAGAUCUUCAGCGUGAGUUUUGAAUUGUUGGCGCACAAUCACGUCGAGGUUGGCGCACAAGUUUUCAGUUAUGGUGGUUGGCGCGCAUCAAAUGUUUAAGCGAGACUUUGAGUAUUCGAGAAAUUUGUAAGCGAGACUUUGAGGCUUGAGAAAUUUGUGUUCCUGGUUGUAAUAGCAUAGUAAUUACCUAAAUGGAGUAAAUGGUGAUUAUAAGUGGCGGAAACUAGGGGGGGGGGGGCGAGGGGGGGGAAAUCGCCCCAUUUUACUAGAAUUAUAUUUGGCUAGAAUUCAUUUUGAAAAAUGAAAACACAAUAUAAGGGAGCACUAUUUGUUACAAUAACAACAGCAACGAAAUGGCAAGUUUUAAUAAAAACAAGCUAAAAACAAGCUAAAGUAUUCUAAAUUUAUAAUCUGACAAGUCACACAAUGAGUUAUGAAUUCUGAAAAAAGUCAAAUAAAUUAGUUUUGCAACUACAGGUUAAAAGUGGUGAAUUUUGGCUAAAACAGUGGCUUCUACAGUUAGUUGUCAUUGCAUGUAACAAAUUUGAG
Non-coding RNA from Paramuricea clavata, 1318 nucleotides. The record is from the annotation of a GenBank genome assembly. Lineage: Eukaryota; Metazoa; Cnidaria; Anthozoa; Malacalcyonacea; Plexauridae.